RNAcentral lists this ribosomal RNA (296 nucleotides) under uncultured Actinomycetes bacterium. RNAcentral's name for it is "uncultured actinobacterium partial 16S ribosomal RNA". It matches the Rfam family "Bacterial small subunit ribosomal RNA", at positions 325 to 633 of the family's 1533-position model. Lineage: Bacteria; Bacillati; Actinomycetota; Actinomycetes. The record is from RNAcentral.
UACGGCCCAGACUCCUACGGGAGGCAGCAGUGGGGAAUAUUGCACAAUGGGCGCAAGCCUGAUGCAGCGACGCCGCGUGGGGGAUGACGGCCUUCGGGUUGUAAACCUCUUUCAGUAGGGACGAAGCGCAAGUGACGGUACCUACAGAAGAAGCACCGGCCAACUACGUGCCAGCAGCCGCGGUAAUACGUAGGGUGCGAGCGUUGUCCGGAAUUACUGGGCGUAAAGAGCUUGUAGGUGGUUUGUCGCGUUGUUCGUGAAAUCUCACGGCUUAACUGUGAGCGUGCGGGCGAUAC